Molecule: ribosomal RNA, 254 nt
Filed under: uncultured bacterium
Lineage: Bacteria
Description: partial 16S ribosomal RNA
Rfam family: Bacterial small subunit ribosomal RNA
Source: RNAcentral
UACGUAGGGGGCGAGCGUUGUCCGGAUUUAUUGGGCGUAAAGAGCUCGUAGGCGGUUUGGUAAGUCGGGUGUGAAAUCUCCACGCUCAACGUGGAGGGGCCACUCGAUACUGCCAUGACUCGAGUCCGGUAGAGGAGUGUGGAAUUCCCGGUGUAGCGGUGAAAUGCGCAGAUAUCGGGAGGAACACCCGUAGCGAAGGCGGCACUCUGGGCCGGAACUGACGCUGAGGAGCGAAAGCGUGGGGAGCAAACGGG